Molecule: ribosomal RNA, 490 nt
Filed under: uncultured bacterium
Lineage: Bacteria
Description: partial 16S ribosomal RNA
Rfam family: Bacterial small subunit ribosomal RNA
Source: RNAcentral
AUUGAACGCUGGCGGCAGGCCUAACACAUGCAAGUCGAACGGUAACAGAAAGCAGCUUGCUGCUUUGCUGACGAGUGGCGGACGGGUGAGUAAUGUCUGGGAAACUGCCUGAUGGAGGGGGAUAACUACUGGAAACGGUAGCUAAUACCGCAUAACGUCGCAAGACCAAAGAGGGGGACCUUCGGGCCUCUUGCCAUCGAAUGUGCCCAGAUGGGAUUAGCUAGUAGGUGGGGUAAAGGCUCACCUAGGCGACAAUCCCUAGCUGGUCUGAGAGGAUGACCAGCCACACUGGAACUGAGACACGGUCCAGACUCCUACGGGAGGCAGCAGUGGGGAAUAUUGCACAAUGGGCGCAAGCCUGAUGCAGCCAUGCCGCGUGUAUGAAGAAGGCCUUCGGGUUGUAAAGUACUUUCAGCGGGGAGGAAGGGAGUAAAGUUAAUACCUUUGCUCAUUGACGUUACCCGCAGAAGAAGCACCGGCUAACUCCGUG